UACAGAGGUCUCAAGCGUUGUUCGGAUUCAUUGGGCGUAAAGGGUGCGUAGGCGGCGCGGUAAGUCGGGUGUGAAAUCUUGGAGCUUAACUCCGAAACUGCAUUCGAUACUGCCGUGCUUGAGGACUGGAGAGGAGACUGGAAUUUACGGUGUAGCGGUGAAAUGCGUAGAUAUCGUAAGGAAGACCAGUUGCGAAGGCGGGUCUCUGGACAGUUCCUGACGCUGAGGCACGAAGGCCAGGGGAUCAAACGGG
Molecule: ribosomal RNA, 253 nt
Filed under: uncultured bacterium
Lineage: Bacteria
Description: partial 16S ribosomal RNA
Rfam family: Bacterial small subunit ribosomal RNA
Source: RNAcentral